This 780-nucleotide ribosomal RNA is filed under the name uncultured Neocallimastigales. RNAcentral's name for it is "partial large subunit ribosomal RNA". It matches the Rfam family "Eukaryotic large subunit ribosomal RNA", at positions 23 to 621 of the family's 3401-position model. Lineage: Eukaryota; Fungi; Neocallimastigomycota; Neocallimastigomycetes; Neocallimastigales. The record is from RNAcentral.
AGAGAGAGACAUGCGCGCAUAUCAAUAAGCGGAGGAAAAGAAACUAACAAGGAUUCCCUUAGUAACGGCGAGUGAAGCGGGAAGAGCUCAAAUUUGAAAUCUUCAAGGUUUUACCUUGACGAAUUGUAGUUUAAAGAAGUGUUUUCUGUUGAAGUUUUGGUAAAAGUUCUUUGGAAUAGGACAUCAUAGAGGGUGAGAAUCCCGUAUUUGACCAUUACUUUCCAGCUGUUGUGAUACACUUUCAAAGAGUCGGAUUGUUUGGGAAUGCAGUCCAAAAUGGGUGGUAAAUUUCAUCUAAAGCUAAAUAUUGGCGAGAGACCGAUAGCGAACAAGUACCGUGAGGGAAAGAUGAAAGGAACUUUGAAAAGAGAGUUAAACAGUACGUGAAAUUGUCAAAAGGGAAGCGUUUGACACCAGUGUUGUUUUCUCGAAAAUCAAUUAAAAAUGGUGGAUUUUGUGUUGUAUUGACCUUAAUCAAGCUUUCUUCACUUUUUCCUAUCUUUUUUAAUGCACUUUUCGUUUAACAAGUCAACAUAAGUUUCUUUUGUUGUAAAAGAGUCAUUGGAAGGUGGCUUUCUUUUCGGAGAAAGUGUUUAUAGCCUUUGAUCUCUGCAAUCGGAGAGAUUGAGGUCUGCAGCGUAGACUCCUUCGGGGUUAGAUACAUUUGUGCUAAGCUAUAGCCUUUUCAUAGACAACUUGUUGACUAUGAUUCAGUCAUGUAGGCUUACUCGCUUAUGUCAUUUUACCUACGCUUAGGAUGUUGAUCUGUAGUGCGUGCGC